Molecule: ribosomal RNA, 600 nt
Filed under: uncultured archaeon
Lineage: Archaea
Description: bacterial SSU rRNA
Rfam family: Archaeal small subunit ribosomal RNA
Source: RNAcentral
GAUAGGUCAUCUCAUCUGGAAGGAGAGAUGGCUUAAAGGGGUGCGCGAGCUUCUUUUGUGCACCUGCUCUAGGAUGGGACUGCGGCCGAUCAGGCUGUUGGUGGGGUAAUGGCCCACCAAACCUGUAACCGGUACGGGCCUUGAGAGAGGGGGCCCGGAGAUGGACACUGAGAGAAGGGUCCAGGUCCUACGGGGCGCAGCAGGCGCGAAACCUUCGCAAUGCGCGAAAGCGUGACGAGGUUAAUCCGAGUGGUUCCCGCUGAGGGAAUCUUUUGUUGGCUCUAAAAUGGCCAGUGAAUAAGGGGAGGGCAAGUCUGGUGUCAGCCGCCGCGGUAAUACCAGCUCCUCGAGUGGUCGGGGCGAUUAUUGGGCCUAAAGCAUCCGUAGCCUGUUCUGUAGGUCUUCUGUUAAAUCCAACGGCUUAACCGUUGGUCUGCAGAAGAUACCGCAGGACUAGGAGGCGGGAGAGGUGGACGGUACUCCACGUGUAGGGGUAAAAUCCUUUGAUCCGUGGAAGACCACCAGUGGCGAAGGCGGUCCACCAGACGCGCUCGACGGUGAGGGAUGAAAGCUGGGGGAGCGAACCGGAUUAGAUACCCG